RNAcentral lists this ribosomal RNA (460 nucleotides) under uncultured bacterium. RNAcentral describes it as "partial 16S ribosomal RNA". It matches the Rfam family "Bacterial small subunit ribosomal RNA", at positions 338 to 795 of the family's 1533-position model. The record is from RNAcentral.
CCUACGGGCGGCAGCAGUGAGGAAUAUUGGUCAAUGGACGGGAGCCUGAACCAGCCAUGUCGCGUGAGGGAAGACGGUCCUAUGGAUUGUAAACCUCUUUUGUCGGGGAGCAAUGCCGGGCACGCGUGCCCGGUUGGAGAGUACCCGCAGAAUAAGCAUCGGCUAACUCCGUGCCAGCAGCCGCGGUAAUACGGAGGAUGCGAGCUUUAUCCGGAUUUAUGGGGUUUAAAGGUUCCGUAGGCGGAUUUUACAGUCAGGGGUAAAAUGUCGGGGCUCAACCCGGGCCGGCCGUUGAUACUGGGGAUCUAGAGUGUGCGAGAGGUAGGCGGAAUGCGUGGUGUAGCGGUGAAAUGCAUAGAUAUCACGCAGAACUCCGAUUGCGAAGGCAGCAUACCGGCGCCCGACUGACGCUGAGGCACGAAAGCGUGGGGAGCGAACAGGAUUAGAUACCCUAGUAGUC